UUCGGGGGGAGCAAGCGUUGUUCGGAUUUACUGGGCGUAAAGGGCGCGUAGGCGGCCACCGCAAGUCACAUGUGAAAUCUCCGGGCUUAACCCGGAAAGGUCAACUGAUACUGCGGGGCUAGAGUGCAGAAGGGGCAACUGGAAUUCUCGGUGUAGCGGUGAAAUGCGUAGAUAUCGAGAGGAACACCUGCGGCGAAGGCGGGUUGCUGGGCUGACACUGACGCUGAUGUGCGAAAGCUAGGGGAGCGAACGGG
RNAcentral lists this ribosomal RNA (254 nucleotides) under uncultured bacterium. Its description in RNAcentral is "partial 16S ribosomal RNA". It matches the Rfam family "Bacterial small subunit ribosomal RNA", at positions 524 to 776 of the family's 1533-position model. The record is from RNAcentral.